Molecule: ribosomal RNA, 492 nt
Filed under: uncultured bacterium
Lineage: Bacteria
Description: partial 16S ribosomal RNA
Rfam family: Bacterial small subunit ribosomal RNA
Source: RNAcentral
AGUGAACGCUGGCGGUAGGCCUAACACAUGCAAGUCGAACGGCAGCACAGUAAGAGCUUGCUCUUACGGGUGGCGAGUGGCGGACGGGUGAGGAAUACAUCGGAAUCUACUUUUUCGUGGGGGAUAACGUAGGGAAACUUACGCUAAUACCGCAUACGACCUACGGGUGAAAGCAGGGGAUCUUCGGACCUUGCGCGAUUGAAUGAGCCGAUGUCGGAUUAGCUAGUUGGCGGGGUAAAGGCCCACCAAGGCGACGAUCCGUAGCUGGUCUGAGAGGAUGAUCAGCCACACUGGAACUGAGACACGGUCCAGACUCCUACGGGAGGCAGCAGUGGGGAAUAUUGGACAAUGGGCGCAAGCCUGAUCCAGCCAUACCGCGUGGGUGAAGAAGGACUUCGGGUUGUAAAGCCCUUUUGUUGGGAAAGAAAAGCAGCAGGUUAAUACCCCGCUGUUCUGACGGUACCCAAAGAAUAAGCACCGGCUAACCUCGUG